UUUUAGUCGACAGAAGAACCACAGGGAAUUGCCUCAGUAACGGUCGAGUGAAGCGGCAAAAGCUCAAAUUUGAAAUCUAGCACCUUCGGUGUUUGAGUUGUAAUUUGAAGAUGGUAACCUUGGGUUUGGCUCUUGUCUAUGUUCCUUGGAACAGGACGUCAUAGAGGGUGAGAAUCCCGUCUGAUGAGAUGCCCAUUCCUAUGUAAGGUGCUAUCGAAGAGUCGAGUUGUUUGGGAAUGCAGCUCUAAGUGGGUGGUAAAUUCCAUCUAAAGCUAAAUAUUGGCGAGAGACCGAUAGCGAACAAGUACAGUGAUGGAAAGAUGAAAAGAACUUUGAAAAGAGAGUGAAAAAGUACGUGAAAUUGUUGAAAGGGAAGGGCAUUAGAUCAGACUUGGUGUUUUACGAUUAUCUUCUCUUCUUGAGUUGUGCACUCGUAUUUCACUGGGCCAGCAUCGAUUCGGAUGGCAAGAUAAUGGCAGUUGAAUGUGGCUUCACUUCGGUGGAGUGUUAUAGCUUCUGCUGAUAUUGCCUGUCUGGAUCGAGGGCUGCGUCUUUUGACUAGGAUGCUGGCGUAAUGAUCUAAUGCCGCCCGUCUUGAAACCCGGGACCACA
RNAcentral lists this ribosomal RNA (612 nucleotides) under Hansenula anomala. RNAcentral describes it as "eukaryotic LSU rRNA". It matches the Rfam family "Eukaryotic large subunit ribosomal RNA", at positions 41 to 664 of the family's 3401-position model. The record is from RNAcentral. Lineage: Eukaryota; Fungi; Ascomycota; Saccharomycetes; Phaffomycetales; Wickerhamomycetaceae.